GACGAACGCUGGCGGCGCGCCUAACACCUGCAAGUCGAACGGAGUGGCGGACGGGUGAGUAACACCUGAGCAACCUGCCUAUCAGAGGGGGAUAACGAUUGGAAACGAUCGCUAAUACCGCAUGCUGAUAGAUGGGCUCGCGUCCGAUUAGAUAGUUGGUGGGGUAACGGCCUACCAAGUCGACGAUCGGUAGCCGGACUGAGAGGUCGAACGGCCACAUUGGGACUGAGACACGGCCCAGACUCCUACGGGAGGCAGCAGUGGGGGAUAUUGCACAAUGGGGGAAACCCUGAUGCAGCGACGCCGCGUGAGGGAAGACGGUCCUUGGAUUGCAAACCUCUGUCUUCGGGGACGCGGUACCCGAGGAGGAAGCCACGGCUAACUACGUGCCAGCAGCCGCGGUAAUACGUAGGUGGCAAGCGUUGUCCGGAACUACUGGGUGUAAAGGGAGCGUAGGCGGGCAGGCAAGUCAGGCGUGAAAUAUAUCGGCUCAACCGGUAACGGCGCUUGAAACUGCAGGUCUUGAGUGAAGUAGAGGCUGGCGGAAUUCCUAGUGUAGCGGUGAAAUGCGUAGAUAUUAGGAGGAACACCAGUGGCGAAGGCGGCCAACUGGGCUUUUACUGACGCUGAGGCUCGAAAGUGUGGGGAGCAAACAGGAUUAGAUACCCUGGUAGUCCACACCGUAAACGAUGAUUACUAGGUGUGGGGCCGUGCGGAGUUAACGCAAUAAGUAAUCCACCUGGGGAGUACGGCCGCAAGGUAACGGGUCAAAGGAAUUGACGGA
Molecule: ribosomal RNA, 784 nt
Filed under: uncultured bacterium
Lineage: Bacteria
Description: bacterial SSU rRNA
Rfam family: Bacterial small subunit ribosomal RNA
Source: RNAcentral